UUUUUAUUUUUAACGAAUGAUUUGUAUUAAGUGCUUGUAAACCUUAUUCUUUUUUUCUUUUUUUCUUUUUUAGACAGUGUCUCACUCUGUCCCCAAGGCCAGAGUGCAGUGGCACCAUUAAGGCUCACUGCAGCCUCGAACUCCUGGGCUCAACUGAACCUCCUCCCACCUCAGCCUCUCAAGUAGUUGGGACUACAGGCACAGACCACCACAACCAUCUAUAUUUUAUUUUUGUUUCCUUUUUUUGGAGAGAGGGGUUCUCCCUGUCUUUCCAGGGCUGGUCUGGAACUCCUGGGCUCAAGGGAUCCUCCCACCUCAGCCUCUCAAAGUUUGGGGAUUACAGGUCUGAGACACUAUGCCCAGCCAAUCUGAUUCUUUAAGCAAGAGGCAUUUCAUCUUCACCUGAUGAAAACAAAUGCCUAAGGAAAUAGUUCAAGUAUGCACAUGUAGAUUUGUUCAUUUUCCUGAUCACUCAUCAAAACUUCUGCAAAGAAACCAUGCAAUGUUUUUAUUAAUGUGUAUCUUGUCCUAAUGCCAAAAUAUUAAGUACUAUUGGCUCAUUUUUUAAGCAUACAAUAUUUGAAAUUCCUUUCUUAUAUAAUCUGGAUAACUGUUCCAAUCCUAGAGACUGAAAACAUACAUUGCUACAACACAGGUACAAUUUGUGAGAGAAAGGUAAAAAAAUAAAAUAAAAUAAAAUAAAAUAAGUAGUUCAUGUUUUAAAAGCAAAGACUAUUGAUGUUCUGGGGAUAGAAAACAAUUUAUUUCCCAAAAUCUUAUGAUAUAGAUUAUUCUCCUAAGGAAAAUAAAGGACUAGGCAAAACAAAAAUCUAUAUGUAAGUAACCGGAAUGAAAAUGAUUUGAUUAAAAUGGAGAAUAUAAUUUGAAAAAAACAAAAGCAAUUCAUUAUUUUAUAAAGAAUAAUAACUACAGGUAUAUAUAAAUACUUCUUUCUAUUUCAGUGAAUUUUGUUCAUCUCCAUUUUCUUAGUUUUACAACCUUGAAAUUUGCUUCAAGAAGCCUGAACUACAUAUGUUCAAGGGUAUGAAUAUGUGUUGUUCAUGAAAUAGAAAUCUGUCCCUAUGGAACUGAGGAUGCAGACCUGGAGAAGUAGGAAAUAAUUCUAUUUUGGUAAGGCAUUAAAUGGCAGCUUACAGAGACAUUAUUUUUUUUGAAGAGGAGUGACAGGAUGAAGUUUCCACUUAAGGAAGAUUAAUCAGGCAUUGUAGAAAAUGAAUUCAAUACAUCUCUUGGCAGGGCAAGCAAGCUAAAGGGGGAAUUUGGGAAAGGAGGUUUCAACCUAAAGAAUUAAAAACAAAUUAGGUUUCAGCGUAAAGAAUAUGAAGUAUUAGUUAAUAAAACAAAAGGUGAAAUAAGUAACUGAAGCUUAAGAGAGAAAAGGUCUGAUGGAUGUUAUAAAUUUCAUAGUUAUAUGUCAGGGAGGCUUAAGUCAUGAGAAUUGCAGAACUUUCUUAUGAAUACUUAUUAGAAGGACAUAUUCAAACCAAUGCUGAUCAGGGUUACAAACAUAAGGACUCUAGUUUGAGAUCUAUUACACAGCAUAGUGACUAUAGUUAAUAAUACUGUAUUGUAUAUUUCAAAAUUGCCAAGGGAGUAAAUUUCAAAUGUCUUGCCACAAAAAAAUGAUACGUGAGGUGAUGAAUGUGUUAAUUAGCUUGUUUUUUUAUUCCACAUUUUAUGCAUAUAUCAAAACAUCAAAUUACCUCAUAAGUAUAUACUAUUAUUAUUUGCCAAUUAAAAAUAAAAAUAAGAAAUUUGGUUUGUAAAGUAGAGAAACAGGAACAUUCGUCAGCCUCACAAAUAUGGUCUAAAACCAUUUUAGUGUGUCCUCUAGAAGGAAUGUUGAAACCAUUUACUUCAAGUAAACCUUGAAACCAUGCAGUAUGAGCCCUGAGGCACUUUUAUAAAAGCAAAGUGAUCUUUACUGUCCUGGACUAAAGAAAUAGAUGCAAUGUCAAGAGGGGCUGUGAGGGAGCACUUCACCCACUUCCUCCUGGGGCUUCUAUCUGGACUCCCUCUCCAGACCAGGCUCUGAACCUGACCCAGCCUACGACCUAAAAGAGCAGACAGCCUACCGCAGAUACACCAGAUGCUACAUGUGCAGAGGACAGGCAGUCUCAGUGACUGACCUAUUCAGGAUGGGAAACACGACACUCCCUCUGAUAACAGACCACAGCCCUUGAAGAGCCUGUUAGGAUGAUUCCAUGCUAUCAUAGACAUUAAGUUUCCAUAAGAGAAGCAACUCUUCUAAAACUUUAUUUACUUAUUUGUUUGUUUGUUUAUUUAUUUAGAGACAGAUUCUUGUUCUGUCACCCACGCUGGAAUGCAGUGGCAUGAUCAUAGCUCAUUGCAGCCUUCACCUCCUGAGUUCAAGCAAUCCUCCCACCUCAAUCUCCAAGGAGGCAGGACUACAAGUAUUCAUCUUACUGUUUGGUUAUUUUUUUUUAAAUUUUUUUUUUAUAGAGACAGGGUCUCACUUUGUUGCCCAGGCAGGUCCCAAACUCCUGGCCUCAAGUGAUCCUCCCCCCUCAGUCUCCCACAGUGCUGGAUUACAGGCAUGAGGCACCACACCCAGUAUCCGUCCUAAAAUCUUAAAAACUAAGGACAUUUAGAGUGGCAACUCAGCUAACUCGGCUCUCAACUGACCUUCAGAAACUGGGUUUGCUCCUAAUAGCCUUAGGAAGUAUCCACAGUCUUUCCUCUUCAAGUUCUUCUGACCCAGGGAACUCUUCAUUUGAGUAAACGUUCCCAAACCUCGAUCUACCUCAGAAUCAUGCAAGGAGCUUUCAAUAAUUUGAGACUCUUGAGCCCUUCUCCAAAAUAUUUCUAUCCAAUAGAUCCUGGUGAGCCUGAGCCACUGUUGUUCAGAAGCUCCCCCGGGUGAUUCUGAUACUGCUGAUCCAAAGACUCCCAUGAGGGCAGCACUGUCCAGGAGUCCUCAGGCCUGGCCUAUUGCCUCUGCUGGCCUGAGAACUUAACCCUUUGACUCUAAUUAUUCCUGCCAUGACAUGGUCUCAACCUUCUGCCACCCGUAAGUCCAAAUCCACAUGCACAUUGAACAUAAGCAUUUCUUUCACCAUUUAAGUGGUUUUAAUUAAACCUAGGUUUGUUCUACCUUAAAACAUACUCCAGACUAGCUCUCUUUCUGUAUUAAGUUCCUAGGGUUUCCUUGUAUCACAACCAAGUGGCUUAAAACAAGAGGAGCAACUUAUCUCAUAGUUCUGGAGGCUAGAAAUCCAAAAUCCAGGUGUCAGCUGGGCCUACUCCCUCUGAAGCCUGUAGGGGACUCCCUCCUUGCCUCUCCCUGGCUUCCAUGGGUUUGCCAGCAAUCCCUGGCUCACUCCAAUCCUCAGUCUUCAUGUGGCACCUUGGAAAAAAGGGAAGGUCUACUGUCUCUCUAGCUCAGUAACAUCUUGUCUGUCAUCUUUUCCCCAAAGCGUCCCAAUUGCGUGUUUUCCAUUCUGAUUUUUAUUUUUAUUUUUAAUGAGUGAUUUUUAUCUCUCUGUGUCUUCCCAGUGUCUUUCCUCUGUGCUUUUCUGUCUUUGUGUCAAAUUUCCUGGUUUUAAUGCCAUCAGUCAUAAGAAAUUAAUGGCUUCAUUUUAGCUUAAUAACCUCUAUAAAAACCACAUUUCCAAAUAAAAUCACAUUCUGAGGUAUGGGGAGUUAGGACUUCAAUGUAUCUUUUUAGAGGACGAAAUUCUUCCCAUAACACUCUUCUCAGCAGUUUGCUGUCAGAGUGUUCUGCUAUUUACUCAAUUGUUCAUAAAAACAAAAUGCUCUGUUAACUGAAGGGUCUAUGUCAUUUAUUACAACUAAUCCAUGUUGACUGUAUUAAUGUUAACGCUAAUUUAAAUGACUGCUUAGUACUUUACUAAACAUUUAAUAAAAUUAUUUGUUAAUUAAUUCUUAUUAAAUAAAAUGACUCUCUUGCUGUACCAUGAUUUACAUGCCACGGAAAUCACUGCUUAUGUUGACUUUGCUUCCACAGACCUGGCUUCCUAGGACAGAAUACAAAAGUAUGACAAUUCAUGUAUUUUUAUUAAAAUGAUAGUUUUGCUCUUAACCUCUCAGAAAAAAAAAUCAAAAGAUAUAAUUUGAUAAUAAUUAUUUAUUGGCAUAUAUCCUUUUUAUUACCAAUGAUUCCAGCUCUAUGUUUUUUGUGUUUUGUUUUACUUUUAUCUUGAAAUGUCAGCCCUAUUUUUAAAGUAAGUUGAUUCUUUCCAACCUCUUCUUCUGUAUCCUUUGCUGGCUCCUUGUUCUCUACUCACCUUGUAUUAAGUCCUAUUUUCGGUUCUAGUCUCAACUAUGUACUCUCUCUCCCAAGGUGAUCUCAUCCAGGGCUUUUUAAAUACCAAUAUUGUUCAUGAUUCUUAAUUCUAAAUAUGCAAUCCAGGCUUGCCCUCUAGGUUCCACACUCAUGUACCUGACAGCUACUUGGCCUCAAGUCUCAGAAUCUUAAAGUAUCUAAAACAGAACCCUUAUGUAUCCAAACACAUCUGCUAGACCUACACACACACACACACACACACACACACACACACACACACACACACACGAUACCCAAGCACAACAAUUCAUUUUGUUACUCACGAUGUAACCCUUCAGUAUUUGCCAACGCAGAAUGGUUUCAAUACCAGUCACAGUAUAACUCAAGUCUCAUUAGUAGACAAAAUUUGAAUUUCACUAACCUUUAAGUUUCACUAACUUUAAGUUUCAUAGCAUGAACCACGGUAUUGAAAUAAAGAAAGAGAAUGGAAACAAAAUGAUUAAUAAUUAUAGUGCAGAGGAGAAGAAAAGAACUAUUAAAACCAUGUCAAAGCCAAAGUAUCAGUAUAAAUACAUAGUAAAAGAAAUAUAUUUCAGCAUUCGCUGUCCAAUAUCUACGACAGGUGAGCUGCACCUUUCAUAGAGCUUAGUUAAAAACAUGUUACCACAGCUACACCACCCCCCUACAGACACCUCUUAACACAUUUAUCUCAGCAUUCUAGUGUCAUAGGUGCUUUGCUCACAGAUGGUUUGAAUGUGGUAUGGAAAGGAAGUUAACUAAACUUCGUUUCCACUGUGAGAAAAAAUGCUGAUUUUCUUUGAGAGAAUGUUCUCUAUUUAUUUAUUUAUUUACUUAUGUAUUUCUUUCUUUUUAGAUAGAGAGUGUCACUCUGUCUCCCAUGUUGGAGUGAGUGGUGGCAUCAUAGUACACUGCAGUCUUGAUCUCCUGGGCUCAAGCAAUCCUCCCACCUCAGCUUCCCAAGUAGCUGGGGCUAGAGGCACAACUCACCACACCUGGCUAAAAUUUUUUGUAGAGAUGAGGUUUCGCUAUGUUGCCCAGACUGAUCUGGAACUCCUGGACUCAAGCAAUCCUCCUACCUUGGCUUCCCAAAGUGCUAGGAUUACAGGCAUAAGCCACUGUACCCAGUCAGAUGUUCUCUACAAUAAAAAAUAUACAUCUAUGAGUUAGAAGCUGCCUAUUUUCUCUAAAUCUUGUAGGGUUUCUGGUACCACAGAUAUGUCUGGUGAGAGUUUUGAGUUUUGUUUCCCUUAUUCCUAGGUCUAAUAGUAAUAAGAAUUUCACCUUGAAGUGAUGAAAGGUGCAAUGAAUGUCCAUGGGUAAUAAUAACAUCCUGAGACGAAGAUGUGUUGAACAUGCCAAAGUUACAUUGAACUUGCCAGAGUCCGACCUCUGUGAGGUUGGGAAGAUGUCUAAAGCUCUGUGGGAACAAUGCCUGCCAAAAUUAGUUCAGUGCUUCACUGAGGCUACUCUCAGAAAAUGGCUCUGAAAUGAGAUGUGGCAUGUCAGACUUUGAAACCAUGCAAUUAAGGUUUAUUUAAAUGUGGUACCUGAAAAGAAUGUGCUAAAAGCACAUGAUCAAGUGCUUCUUUUUAUGUAUAAAUUACACAUAUCUAAUGAUAAGUAUAUACAGUAUUAUAAAACAAGCAAAACUGAAAGUAUCCUUACAAAAAAAAUGUACUAAAGGCUCUUGGAUGACUAGAUGAAUCAGUGACACAGUAAUGAAUCACUUCUUUAAAAAAAAUUAUUUCACAUCGUUUUUGAUGGGCCUGUAUUCAUACUUUUCACUUUCUCUUUAAUUUCAUCUAGGAAAAUCAGGAGGAUCACAAAUGAAAACCAUGAGGCAAACAUCUUGAGGGCAGAAGCCUGGAGAAAAACUAAUGAUGAAAGACAGCCAGAGCAGUGGAGUGAAAAAAGUAGAAAAUGACUGAGAUUUUGCAAACCGAAACUCAUCCACAGAUACUAGCUUGAAAAGGAUAUGUUUUCUCCAAGUAAAUUUCCCAAUUUGAGUUUUUAUUUUCCCACUCCAGACAGUAGUUCAGACAAAAUGGGAAUAAGAUAACGAAAAGCUUUUAUUUGUUUCUUUAACUUUUAGGAGGAACUAAUGUAUCAUCUAUGUGAUGACCUCCCAGUUAAGCCUUAGUCAUGAGCAUGUAGAUUGUCUUCAGCAGAUGUGUUCUCCCAACGCCAUCCCCUUUCAACACCCUCACUAGUUCACUGCCUCAUAAUCUCCAUUGUCUGACAGUUGGUGGAAGCAGAAAAAAACAUAAAAGAGCAAAAAAAAAACAGUUGGUUUCAGUAGAAAGUGCACCAGAUCUAGGAAACAGGGAUCCCUAUCCUAUGAUAUGCUGAAGCAGGCUUAUACGGGCUCAGAGUUAGAAUUGGUUUUGUUAGAUUUUUAGGAAUUUUGUGAGCCAGUUGUUAAAUACAGCCAUUAUUAAAAAUUAAAUUAUGCAAACUUAAAUUUAAAGAAAUCCUACUAAAAACCAAGGUACUGAAUAGUUAACAGUUAUUCCUUCCUAAUUAUUUUGCUGUGUUUUACUUUACCAAUGCUUUUGAGGUUAGGCCUAUCUUAUGUAUAUGACGGAAAUGCUAUAUAAAGUAUACUUGAAAUUGGUCGUGAUGGGAGUAUUUACACCAAAGAAUUUGGCAAACCCCACAAAUCAGCGGUUGCUUACUGUUUUGUUGAUUGUCUAGGCUUUUUAAAUAAUGGAGAAAUAUUUUAAAUAAUGCAUAUUAAACCUAAAAGUGUGUCAUGUCUAUAGACAUUACAUUGUCAAUAGCUAUGAAAGAAACUGAGGAAAUAAUUUUUAAGUAUUUAAAAACUAUUAUCCAAUUCAGCCAAGAAUCUUUUCAUGUAAUUGAUGAAGUAAAGUUCGAAUAUUUUCUUCAAAUUUUCACUUUCCUCUUUUUUCUUAAAGCAUACAAAAAUAUUCACCAGCAUUCAUGUCAGAUUUAUAAAACCAAGAGUUUUUCAAACUCAGCAAAAAGAUUCUGCCAAAAUUGAAUGGCUGUAUGGAAUUCACACUAAAGACUAUUACAUAUUUUACUAUUGCUAUCAUUUGUCAACAGAGAGCUACACAUCUUUUACAUAGAGAAGAUUAUCUUGUAUGCUAUUAUAAUGUAAUAUAUACAUUUGUUUUGUUUACAAUCCAGUUGUUAAAUGCUUACCAUCACCCCAAUAUUUCUACCAUCCAAAAACUCUUGAUUAUGGAAAAACUGUUUAUGAAUAUCAACUUCCUCACCUGCAAACAAAUGAAAUGAGUAUCUACCUCACAGGAUAGUUUUAAAAGUCAAAAGAAAUGUUUAUGUCAAAGUCCUGUAUGGAUUGCAAAUGUUAUGUAUUAUCAAAAAUUCAGCAAAUAUGUUUCAGCUCCUAAUAUGAGCUCUAAGAACUUGCAGAGUUUGUAAAGAUCACUAGUACUAUGGUCCCUACCCUCAAGUUGCUUACAAUCUAGUGGUGAGAAAUAUGUGUAAAUAACUUAAAAUUAUUUAAGAGUGUAUCAAAUGUUUUAUAACAGAGGAAAAAGCGAAGUGCUAUGAGAUUAUAGGAAUAUAAGGGAUUUUACCUGGAGCACCAAGGAAGACUUCAUUAAAAAAUGGAAUUUUAAGAUAAGCUUUGACAAAUAAGUUGCAUUUGUAUCAACUAAGAAAGUGGAAAGAAGGGGCAUGCUUGGCUGAUGGAUGAAAUCUCAAAAACAUUAUCAUCACAAUGCCUGUUAAGAAAAUCAUAAUUGCAUUGAUAAAUCUGCUACAUAAAAACCUUACUUGUUAUUUCCAUGUAAAAUAGAAAUUAGGCAUUAUAGAUUAUGCAAUCCAGCAUGCCUAUCUAUAAUCUUACAUUGAAUCAAGGGUUGACUCAAUGUUUAGUCAGUUUUUCCAACUUAUAAGCCAUGUCCAUUUCUGAAAACCAAAAUACAAAUCAAGCUCCUGCCUUCUUUUCUUAGUGAAAGAAAACAUUCAUAUUGUUUUAAAUUUUUAAAAUUUUUUUCAAGAAACUAUAAAAUAUGUUUGAUUCAAGUAUUUCACAAGACAGAAGGCACUAUCCAAUAGGCUUAAAAAGUCACUGAUUUCAAACCUACGAAUACAUAAAUUAUGCAUGCAUUAUGUGAACAAUGAAGGGCACAUCCAAAGUGAGGUUUUCAUGGGAGACUGGAACACUGAGGCAAGAGAAAAGUGAAAACAUUCUAAAGCCUUCAUGUAAACAAGGACUAACUACUAAAAAGCACGAUUUUAUCCCUCAGUUAAUAAGUCUUGCAAGGGAUGACAUUACUAAGUAAAGUUCAUUGCAAGCUUUUUCCUCUCACUUGUCAAAAUAUACUAGUUUAUAUUUGUGACUCGAAAAAAAAUACAAUGCUUGGAAGAAAGCUUGGCAGAGCACUCAGAAUCUGUCUGAAGUAUAACGCAAGGGAGAUGUCUAUUAAUCUCUCACACACAAAAGUCUGACUCAAAAGGUCUGUGGCCUUGACCUCAAGUGACCAUGGAAUAGACCACAGAGCCAGUCCAGGAUCCAAAGGGAUUAAGAGGAGCAUUUGCUCUGCUCUGAAAGGGCCUUUUUUCCCCACUCUAGUUUCUAACUUCCCAUUACACACACUCCCUCUGCAAGGCACCGCGCCAAUGGAGCCGGUUCACUCUGUUCUCUCCUUGAUGACAGCUGUCAGUCUGUCGCCGCCUGAACAUGCAACAUUUCAACAAAAUCCAAAGCGGAACUGGAAGGGCAGGGGCUGAAGCACACAGCCUGAUCUCCUUCCUGGAGGUCCCAGACUCCUUAACCAUCACUUUUCAACCUGCUUAAGGUUAGAACCACCUCACUCUUCACUAACAGAGUUGAGGCAGCUUCUGUCUCCUCAGAACCUGGGCAUUCCCACACAGUGUAAUUAAGCAACAUUCCUGGAAAUCAUCCUAAGAAGAAAGAGCCCGCAAGUCCCCGUGUAACUUCAGCACGAACGCGGAGGGUGCUAAACCAGGCUGCUCAACAUGAAGACGCAGAUGAAGACCUUUAUGAUGAUCCACUUCCACUUAAUGAAUAGCAAACAUAUUUUCUCCUCCUUAUGAUUUUCUUAAUAAAAUUUUCUUUUCUCUUACUUUAUUGUAAGAAUACAGUAUAUAAUUAACAAA
This is a long non-coding RNA of Homo sapiens (human), 9424 nucleotides long. RefSeq lists it as uncharacterized. Lineage: Eukaryota; Metazoa; Chordata; Mammalia; Primates; Hominidae. The transcript has 2 exons. The record is from RefSeq and is a predicted model, not a curated record.